Molecule: long non-coding RNA, 2159 nt
Filed under: Homo sapiens (human)
Lineage: Eukaryota; Metazoa; Chordata; Mammalia; Primates; Hominidae
Description: HSALNT0359643
Source: RNAcentral
AGAACUGGCAGCUGUUAGGAGAAGACGGGGUGAUUUGCAGAUGGCAGUCCUGGACUUGGAAGUGCAGAUGUGGGGCCCCAGGAACACUCAAGGUGGGAAUGCUCCUCCCUCCAGGGUGCUGGUCCCCAGGAACCCCCACCUUCCUUUGCCCCAGUCCCAGGAGCCUGUUCUCUAGGAGAUGUGGCCUGUGGACACACCCGGGAGUCAGAUUCUAGGCUCUCCAAGACCUGUCAGUGUCUGCCAGGGACCUCCACUCCGCACAUGUACAGUCCAGGGAUGCAGCCAGUUCCCACACACCCCUUUGCACACCUACAGCCUAACCACCACUACCCAGCACAACCAGUUCUACUCCCCUCCAUUCCCACCCACUUCAAAGCCACAUGUACUUCACUUUACAACAGCAGCCUCCUACUCGCUGACCCCUGUGACUCCAGCCCAUUCAGAUUCUCUGUCCCUUCUUCCACAUGCUUUGUAGCCCCUGACCUUACUAACCUGCCCCCUUAUCUGGCUGCCCUCUCUAUAUCCCCGGGCUUUCUGUGGUGCCCUCUCAGAUGCAUGUGUUUGGGGAGCAUAUGUAUUGUCCCCACAAAUCACUUUCUGCGCUCCAAGAGGGGCUAGUUGUUGCCGGUGGGAAGCCAAGCCCAGGUGCCUCCGGGUUCAGGUGACUGGAAAAGCCAGGGCAGGACUGGAGUAUUACUUAUCGGAGCUGCGUCUGACACCGGCCCGACACCUCGUAAAAUAGGGAACUGCGCCUCUCUGCCUCACCCCGCGCCGCUCGCCAGGCCACCAAGCCGGGAAAGGCGGAGCGAGGGGAAGCCGAACAAGCGGGAUCGGCCGUCCGCGCGCGGAGGGGUUCCUAGACUGGAGAGCAGAAACUACCCGCGUCCCGGGACUUGGCAAGCCCCGUCGAGCCCCGGGACACAACGGGGAAGGGAGAGACAAAGCCGAGCCGCCUCUCCUGGCCAGCCCGGAACCGAAAGUGGGUCCGUAGAGAGCCCAGAGUCCUGGGGGAACAGAUGGGCAAAGGGCUCUAGGAGGUGAUGGAACUCAGGCCCGAAGGGCAGGCAGCCCACAGGAUACCAAGCCUUAACGAACUACGCCAGAAGAAUGGGCGUAGGGCCCACAGCCCCUCACACAACCCAGGCCAAGCUCCCUCGUACACUCAGACCAGGAGAAGAAACAGACACGCAAUACACAAGCCCCGCUCCCUUGGAGCCUACACUUGGGCGAACACACCACUGCUGUUUGCAGUAUCCCGAGACAGGCCCGGCAGGCGUGAGCUAAGAGGCCUCGGGCCCGAACUUGGGAUUUGAGGCUCUCUCACAUCGCCGGUCCCAGCGGCAGCGCCUGAGGCACAGCCAAGACCAUCCGAGGUCCCCGGGCCGCGCGCAGGUAGCAGACUUCUUCAGAACUGGGGGAGCUAAAGAGAGAGUGGGCUUAGAGCCCAGGCCUCCCUGGAUCCCAGAUCCUCGCCUCCGCCUACAGCCAAGCCCCUCAGCUUUUGCCCAGAGCUGCUGACUUCCUCGCCGCCUCCCUGCGCAAUGGGACCUAGAGAUAAGCCCCAAGCCCGGGUGCUAGUCCAGGCAGAGUCGGGUGCUAGUCCAGGCAGAGUCCAGUGCUAGUCCGCGGCCUCAACAGAGCUGUCGGCUGGGCUCCGGAAGCCCACCCGGAACCUGAUGGAGGCAGCGAAUUCCUCAGAGCAGAGGACACUGCGGAGAGGCUCGAAUCCACUUCCCACAUUGUGCGGGACCGAGCGCGCAGGGCGCUCUCGCGUGGCCUCCUUAGCUCGGGUUCAGCCGAGGCUCUCACGUACACUUCGUUACCCCUUCCCCCCGCCGCAGCUCUGGUCCUUCCUUCCACUGGCUCUCUUCUCUGGCCUAUGGAAACAACGAACUACUUUUCGCCUUUCAAGGCCCGGGUCCCAAGCCACCUCCUCUGUGAAGCCGCCAACACCCUGGUAGCUGCCUCUCAGUGUUUUGCAACUGGCACGGCCCUGUCCCUCGGUCCGCUUCUACUAGCGCUGGGGGUGCUGCGAGUCUUGCCCACUAGACUAGGAGCUCCUUGAGGGCAGGAACCGAAUCUGAUUCGUUUCCAUUUUCCCAGCCCCCCUGCGCGGCCUGGCGCAGAAAAGACGCGCAAUAAACAUUUGCUGAAUUGAA